GGUGAACGCUGGCGGCGUGCCUAAGACAUGCAAGUCGAGCGGGCCGCGGGGUUUUACUCCGUGGUCAGCGGCGGACGGGUGAGUAACGCGUGGGUGACCUACCCGGACGAGGGGGACAACCCGGGGAAACUCGGGCUAAUCCCCCAUGUGGACCCGCCCCUUCGGGUGUGUCCAAAGGGCUUUGCCCGCUUCCGGAUGGGCCCGCGUCCCAUCAGCUCGUUGGUGGGGUAAUGGCCCACCAAGGCGACGACGGGUAGCCGGGCUGAGAGGGUGGCCGGCCACGGGGGCAAUGAGAACCGGGACCCACUCCUACGGGAGGCAGCAGUGAGGAAUCGUCCGCAAGGAGCGCAAGCCUGACGGAGCGACGCCGCUUGGAGGAAGAGGGCCUGCGGGGUGUACAUUCGUGAACCCGGGCCGAAUCCCCCGACGAGGGGACUGACGGUACCGGGGUAAUAGCGCCGGCCAACUCCGUG
This 473-nucleotide ribosomal RNA is filed under the name uncultured bacterium. Its description in RNAcentral is "partial 16S ribosomal RNA". It matches the Rfam family "Bacterial small subunit ribosomal RNA", at positions 28 to 507 of the family's 1533-position model. The record is from RNAcentral.